GUACGUACAAGCAGUGGGAGCACAGGUUUACCCGUGUGUCUGCGUACCUUUUGUAUAAUGGGUCAGCGACUUAUAUUCUGUAGCAAGGUUAACCGAAUAGGGGAGCCGGAGGGAAACCGAGUCUUAACCGGGCGUUAAGUUGCAGGGUAUAGACCCGAAACCCGGUGAUCUAGCCAUGGGCAGGUUGAAGGUUGGGUAACACUAACUGGAGGACCGAACCGAC
RNAcentral lists this ribosomal RNA (223 nucleotides) under Salmonella enterica subsp. enterica serovar Infantis. RNAcentral's name for it is "partial 23S ribosomal RNA". It matches the Rfam family "Bacterial large subunit ribosomal RNA", at positions 560 to 783 of the family's 2925-position model. The record is from RNAcentral. Lineage: Bacteria; Pseudomonadati; Pseudomonadota; Gammaproteobacteria; Enterobacterales; Enterobacteriaceae.